Molecule: ribosomal RNA, 253 nt
Filed under: uncultured bacterium
Lineage: Bacteria
Description: partial 16S ribosomal RNA
Rfam family: Bacterial small subunit ribosomal RNA
Source: RNAcentral
UACGGAGGGAGCUAGCGUUGUUCGGAAUUACUGGGCGUAAAGCGCACGUAGGCGGCUUUGUAAGUUAGAGGUGAAAGCCCGGGGCUCAACUCCGGAACUGCCUUUAAGACUGCAUCGCUUGAAUCCGGGAGAGGUGAGUGGAAUUCCGAGUGUAGAGGUGAAAUUCGUAGAUAUUCGGAAGAACACCAGUGGCGAAGGCGGCUCACUGGACCGGUAUUGACGCUGAGGUGCGAGAGCGUGGGGAGCAAACAGG